RNA transcript from Cucumis melo (muskmelon), 2337 nucleotides. It is a transcript of the gene named protoporphyrinogen oxidase 1, chloroplastic, with no coding region annotated. Lineage: Eukaryota; Viridiplantae; Streptophyta; Magnoliopsida; Cucurbitales; Cucurbitaceae. The record is from RefSeq and is a predicted model, not a curated record. The transcript has 10 exons.
UAUUGAGACAAAAUUCCCCAUGUUCGUUGCGUUCACAGGUCCUUCACAGAUGUUGUUGUAGAUAACACAUCCCUUCUUCAACUUCACUCUUCAUCCUCCUCUCUUCACCAUCAAUAAUUCUCACUUCCCUCUCCCCCCAUGGCCACCGGCGCCACCCUCCUCACCGACCUCCCUUUCCGGCGCCCUCACCCUCUCACUCUUCUCCGCCCCUCAGACAUUCCUUCUUUUUACCCACUCCACAUCUCUCUCCAAAACAAUCGCCUUCGCUCCCAUUUCCGAUGUUCAAUCGCCGAGGGCUCCACCGCUCUUUCCCCUUCCAACGCCUCUUCUCAAUCUUCCAUCCUGGAUUGUGUGGUCGUCGGUGGUGGAAUUAGUGGCCUCUGCAUCGCUCAGGCCCUUGCUACCAAACACCCCGAUGUUGCCCCUAACAUCAUUGUCACAGAGGCCAAGGAUCGCGUUGGAGGCAACAUUACUACGGUUGAGAGAGAUGGAUAUCUAUGGGAAGAAGGGCCUAAUAGCUUCCAACCUUCCGAUCCUAUUCUCACCAUGGUGGUGGAUAGUGGCUUGAAAGAUGAUUUAGUUCUGGGAGACCCAGAUGCACCUCGAUUUGUAUUGUGGAAUGGAAAGCUCAGGCCAGUGCCCGCGAAGCCUAAUGAUCUACCUUUCUUUGACCUGAUGAGCAUUGGUGGAAAAAUCAGAGCAGGCUUUGGUGCUCUGGGCAUUCGCCCUCCUCCUCCAGGUCGAGAGGAAUCAGUUGAAGAAUUUGUUCGUAGGAACCUUGGCGAUGAAGUUUUUGAACGUUUGAUAGAGCCAUUUUGUUCUGGUGUAUACGCUGGUGACCCUUCAAAGCUAAGCAUGAAAGCAGCUUUUGGUAAGGUUUGGAGGCUAGAGCAAAAUGGUGGUAGUAUUAUUGGUGGGACUUUCAAAGCACUUCAAGAAAGGAAUAAAACUACCAAGCCACCAAGAGAUCCGCGUCUACCAAAGCCUAAGGGCCAAACUGUUGGAUCUUUUCGGAAAGGACUUACCAUGUUGCCAAAUGCUAUUUCUACUUGCUUGGGCAGUAAAGUAAAAUUAUCUUGGAAGCUAUCUAGUAUCAGUAAAGUGGAUGAUGGAGGUUAUAGUUUGACAUACGAAACACCAGAAGGACUAGUCCCCAUACUAAGCAGAAGUGUCAUCAUGACGGUUCCUUCUUAUAUUGCCGGCACUCUGUUGCGUCCAAUCUCGGGGAAAGCUGCAGAUGCACUUUCAAAAUUUUAUUAUCCACCAGUUGCAUCGGUGACCAUAUCAUAUCCAAAAGGAGCAAUUAGGAAAGAAUGCUUGAUUGAUGGUGAACUUAAGGGGUUUGGUCAAUUGCACCCUCGUAGCCAGGGGGUGACAACUUUGGGAACUAUAUACAGCUCAUCACUUUUUCCUAAUCGAGCACCAGAUGGAAGGGUAUUGCUCUUGAACUACAUUGGAGGGGCUACUAAUACUGGAAUUCUUUCCCAGAAAGAGAGCGAGCUCAUAGAAGUAGUUGAUCGGGAUUUGAGAAAAAUCCUCAUAAACCCAAACGCAGAGGAUCCUCUACCAUUGAGCGUGAGGGUGUGGCCACAAGCCAUUCCACAGUUCUUGAUUGGCCAUCUUGAUCUUCUGGACACCGCCAAGGCCGGACUGAGAGAGGCUGGAAUGGAAGGGCUAUUUUUAGGUGGAAACUAUGUAUGUGGUGUGGCCUUGGGGAGAUGUGUGGAGGGUGCCUAUGAAGCUGCAGCUGAGGUAGCUGGUUUUCUGUCUAAAAAGGUGUAUAAAUAAAUAGCUACUUCUUUUUGCUUUCUACCAUUAGGCACAUAUCCAAACUGAUGGCUCUUCACGCCAUUGAGUUGUAACUUGUAAGGGAUGGUGAUCGUGUUUUGCAGUUGGGACCAGUAUCAACAUUGAAGAGCUUAGCAUAUCUUUGGAAGUAACCAAUGCGGUCAUUGACUCGAGCAUCAUUUGCAAUCCCACACUCGAGUCCGCCAUUGAUGAUGUUGGUGACCAGUCCAUAUCCUGCAGUUCGAUUUGCUUCUAUAUCAGCCUUUGUGGGAACGUAUUGCCCGACCAUGACGUCGUGGCACGAUGGCUUUGGCUUCUGCUCUGUCAUCCAGAACCACAGUGCGGUCUUGAAGGCCGUCGUUGGGUCCUCCGCCACUCUCUCUGGGUUCUUCAGUCCGUCGAAUCCUAAAGCCUUCCCCGCCGGCCCGUAGUUGAAAUUCCUGCUUGUUCGUCCAUUUCAUUUUGUUACUUUAUGUGUAAUGCAAUUUUGAAUUUUGUUCAUUAUUAGAGUUUACUAUUUUUAAGGAUUUUGUUAUGUUUUCAAAUUUU